RNAcentral lists this ribosomal RNA (460 nucleotides) under uncultured bacterium. Its description in RNAcentral is "partial 16S ribosomal RNA". It matches the Rfam family "Bacterial small subunit ribosomal RNA", at positions 338 to 795 of the family's 1533-position model. The record is from RNAcentral.
CCUACGGGAGGCAGCAGUGAGGAAUAUUGGUCAAUGGACGAGAGUCUGAACCAGCCAAGUAGCGUGAAGGAUGACUGCCCUAUGGGUUGUAAACUUCUUUUAUAUGGGAAUAAAAUGUUCCACGUGUGGGAUUUUGUAUGUACCAUAUGAAUAAGGAUCGGCUAACUCCUUGCCAGCAGCCGCGGUAAUACGGAGGAUCCGAGCGUUAUCCGGAUUUAUUGGGGUUAAAGGGAGCGUAGGUGGAUUGUUAAGUCAGUUGUGAAAGUUUGCGGCUCAACCGUAAAAUUGCAGUUGAAACUGGCAGGCUUGAGUACAGUAGAGGUGGGCGGAAUUCGUGGUGUAGCGGUGAAAUGCUUAGAUAUCACGAAGAACUCCGAUUGCGAAGGCAGCUCACUGGACUGCAACUGACACUGAGGCUCGAAAGUGUGGGUAUCAAACAGGAUUAGAUACCCUAGUAGUC